This 492-nucleotide ribosomal RNA is filed under the name Triticum aestivum (bread wheat). RNAcentral's name for it is "partial small subunit ribosomal RNA". The record is from RNAcentral. Lineage: Eukaryota; Viridiplantae; Streptophyta; Magnoliopsida; Poales; Poaceae.
AUGAUCGAGGGACGAGGUGAGGCAGCGCCCAGAUCCACAGCGGCAUCGGCGUGCCAUCGUCGACCUGAGCCGCCACCGUCCUCGAGGUCAACCAUGGAGGGGGGUUUGAUCCGUCGGCAGCCAUGGACGGAGACGCCACAAACCCUAGCAUGGGGACCGAGCCGCCAUGGAUGUUCGAAUGAGGAAGGAGGCCAGCGGCCAGGACGACACCAUGAUCUCACCCUGCUUUGCUCCUUCCCCACCAUGACCACGCCAUGGAAGCAGCAGCAGGGUUCCUUGGUGGGUACAACAGCAGCAGUAAGAGGACACCAUGGUGGGUACAGCGGCAGCAGCAGCGGCGGCAAUGGCUCGAUGGACGCCACCAUGGAAGCUGUGGGGCUGGAGGCGGCAUUCGAGGUUGGAGAUGGCAUGAGAAGCAGAGCUCCCUUGUGCCACUCUCUCUACAAAGAAAGUGUAGUCUGCAAGCUUAUCAAAUCUGGGUACUCUUUGUAG